Molecule: long non-coding RNA, 710 nt
Organism: Nycticebus coucang (slow loris)
Lineage: Eukaryota; Metazoa; Chordata; Mammalia; Primates; Lorisidae
Exons: 3
Source: RefSeq, a predicted model, not a curated record
GGCAGCUAAAGAAUUCAGGGAGGGGAAAAAAAAAUUCACUGUUCAGUGAGUGCAGCUGAGAGUCUCUGAGCCCAGCCGUCAGUGCCAGGGCUGGACCCACAGCGGGUGUCGGGGGCCGGCGGGCUCCCCGCGCUCCGAGGCGAGCCGGGAGCGCUCACGCACCGCCGGCCGCCCCCCUUCUGGCGGUGGGUUCGGUCCUCGCAGCCGCCGCACGGGCAGGGCGGCCGCUGCCACCGCGGUAGUCACCUAGCGCGGGCGGCCCGAUCUGCUGGCUACUCCACAAGCCUCCCAACUCCGCGCUGGAGCGCUUGCCCGGCUCUGUUCUCGCCUCGAGGAGCAGCCACUAGCGAACCCGGUGGAGCAGCUUGCGGCGAGAAGGAGCCGGGAGGGAAACUGUGAACCACUGGAAUAUCCUGCAAGGCCUUGCACUGUAUAAGAGCAUUCUGUUUCCAGAGUAUUCGAAAAAGCCAUUGUCUGAACCAAGGGAGCCCAGAUGCUAGAACUAAAACAGUUAGAGAAAGAAGAUGAAGAAAAAACAACCCAUUUUGUUGGCUGAACUGGACUUUGGAAAUGUGGGCAGACUAUUCCUGGGGAGACCCAACUACGCAUUUGGCUCUGUCACUGGUUGGAAACUUACAAGGCAGUCUACAUCUUUGUGGUUCAGUUUCCGCACCUACUGCUAUUUAUCUCAUAAGGAACUUCUGAAAUUA